This 253-nucleotide ribosomal RNA is filed under the name uncultured bacterium. RNAcentral describes it as "partial 16S ribosomal RNA". It matches the Rfam family "Bacterial small subunit ribosomal RNA", at positions 524 to 776 of the family's 1533-position model. The record is from RNAcentral.
GACGAACCGAGCGACCGUUGUUCGGAAUCACUGGGCUUAAAGGGCGCGUAGGCGGGUGCUCAAGUCUGUGGUGAAAUCCUCCGGCUCAACCGGAGAACUGCCAUGGAUACUGGGUGCCUCGAGGGUGGUAGGGGUAUGCGGAACUAUCGGUGGAGCGGUGAAAUGCGUUGAUAUCGAUAGGAACUCCGGUGGCGAAGGCGGCAUACUGGACCACUUCUGACGCUGAGGCGCGAAAGCCAGGGGAGCAAACGGG